RNAcentral lists this ribosomal RNA (741 nucleotides) under Muricopsis cristata. RNAcentral describes it as "partial 16S ribosomal RNA". The stretch from base 1 to 581 matches the Rfam family "Bacterial large subunit ribosomal RNA", at positions 1817 to 2925 of the family's 2925-position model. Lineage: Eukaryota; Metazoa; Mollusca; Gastropoda; Neogastropoda; Muricidae. The record is from RNAcentral.
GGCUCCUUGCAAUCUAUAUACAUAGGGAGUCAGACCUCCCCGGUGAAUUUUUAACGGCCGCGGUACUCUGACCGUGCGAAGGUAGCAUAAUAAUUUGCCUUAUAAUUGAAGGCUUGUAUGAAUGGUUUGACAAGAGCGUUACUGUCUCCUUAUAAUUGAAUAGAAUUUUACUUAUAGGUGAAAAGGCCUAUAUAAUAUUGAAAGACAAGAAGACCCUAUCGAGCUUUAAAUAAACAAAUAGAAUUAAAAUUUUAUAUUAAUAAAAGAAUUAGCUAUUAAAUAUUUUGGUUGGGGCGACUGAGGAACAAAAAAGCUUCCUUUAUACUAAAAAACAAGCUAGUUUUGAUCCAAAAAGUUUGAUUAAAGAAAUUAGUUACCGUAGGGAUAACAGCAUAAUUCUCUUUGAGAGUUCUAAUCGAAAAGAGGGUUUGUGACCUCGAUGUUGGACCAGAAUAUCCUAAAGAUGCAGCCGUCUUUAAGGGUUGGUCUGUUCGACCAUUAAAAUUCUACGUGAUCUGAGUUCAGACCGGCGUGAGCCAGGUCAGUUUCUAUCUUCAAUUUUUAAGGGUAGACUUAGUACGAAAGGACCAGCCUACCACAAUAGAUUUUGUUUUUCAUGAAGAAAUAUAAAAUUCCAUUAAAUUUUCACUUAUCAAAUUAGCAAAGAUUAAUGCAAUUGACUUAGGAUCAAUAAACAUAGGUGAAAUCCCUUUAUUUGAUAAAAUAAAGAUGGCAGAAGAA